AGCUGUGACAUCCCUACCACUCACCGAGAAGAAUGACCCAGUCUAUGGUAACAUCACAGAUCCACAAAGAGACCAAGAGAGCAAGGGGGGUCGAACAGGGCAAGAUGACAAUGAGGAAGUUCAUUACUCCAAAUUUGCUUUUGUUGAACCCAGGCUUGGUGAUCCCAACAGAGUCACAUCAGGGUCAAAUCAGGAAGGUGAUGCUGUGAUCUAUUCCACGCUCAACAUAUAAAGAAACCUGUCUUUCAGCAGGAUAAAACAACUGUGUUAAAAUGCA
Long non-coding RNA from Coregonus clupeaformis (lake whitefish), 277 nucleotides. RefSeq lists it as uncharacterized. The record is from RefSeq and is a predicted model, not a curated record. Lineage: Eukaryota; Metazoa; Chordata; Actinopteri; Salmoniformes; Salmonidae. The transcript has 4 exons.